Molecule: transfer RNA, 86 nt
Filed under: Actinomycetes bacterium
Lineage: Bacteria; Bacillati; Actinomycetota; Actinomycetes
Description: tRNA-Leu
Rfam family: tRNA
About the family: Transfer RNA (tRNA) molecules are approximately 80 nucleotides in length. Their secondary structure includes four short double-helical elements and three loops (D, anti-codon, and T loops).
Source: RNAcentral
GCCCAGGUGGCGGAAUGGUAGACGCGGGGGGCUUAAACCCCCCUGGUGCGAAAGCGCUGUAUCGGUUCGAGUCCGAUCCCGGGCAC